Molecule: unclassified non-coding RNA, 369 nt
Filed under: soil metagenome
Description: partial contains 5.8S ribosomal RNA, internal transcribed spacer 2, and large subunit ribosomal RNA
Rfam family: 5.8S ribosomal RNA (bases 1-120)
Source: RNAcentral
GAUGAAGAACAUAGUGAAAUGUGAUAAGUAAUGUGAAUUGCAGAAUCUCGUGAAUCAUCGAAUCUUUGAACGCACAUUGCGCCCAAUGGUAUUCCAUUGGGCAUACCUGUUUGAGUAUCAGAAUCCUUUCAAUUAUCAAACUUUUAUAUAUAGAGAUGUAUGUAAAGAUGUUUGGAAUAAAGUUGAGAAAAGUAGUAUUGUUUAUAAUAUUACUUUCUUAAAAACCAGAAAUAUUAUGUUUUGAUUUUUCUUCACCUCAUUUUGUAUGAAAUUUUAACAAAUGAGUAUGAGUAAAAAUAACAAUACUUUGGAUGACCUCAAAUCAGGUAGGGAUACCCGCUGAACUUAAGCAUAUCAAUAAGCGGAGGA